This 795-nucleotide transfer RNA is filed under the name Bradyrhizobium canariense bv. genistearum. The stretch from base 189 to 262 matches the Rfam family "tRNA". Lineage: Bacteria; Pseudomonadati; Pseudomonadota; Alphaproteobacteria; Hyphomicrobiales; Nitrobacteraceae. The record is from RNAcentral.
CUAAGGAUGGUUCUUCAGAAGCUUGCUUCUAUCGAACCGUUUUAGAAACAUCAGUGGCCAACGGUCGUCAGGAUCGUUGAGCUGCAUUGGCGGGAUUUCGCCGUCUUCGUUUCUCUUUCUUCGCGGACGAACACGCGCUGGGGCUGCAACCUUGCAGAAUCCCUGGUCCUUGACUGGAUAUGCGUUAGGGGCUUGUAGCUCAGUUGGUUAGAGCGCGCGCUUGAUAAGCGUGAGGUCGGAAGUUCAAGUCUUCCCAGGCCCACCACACUCAUCGAGUGAGCAUUCGUCUUCUGGUUACGGGGCCAUAGCUCAGCUGGGAGAGCGCGUGCUUUGCAAGCAUGAGGUCGUCGGUUCGAUCCCGUCUGGCUCCACCAGAUGGUUUGAUCACCGACUACUCAUACCGUCGUCCGCGAAACAUCACUUCGCACUUACUAGUCCGGAUGGACAGUAAGCUGCGUGAUUUCUGACAUCGUAAAGAGGAGAUCGAUCCGAGUUGGAUCGGGCAACAAGUAAUUGUUGCGCGAUACUUCAUUAUCUCCGGAUCAUUUCGGCGCUCGUGCGUCUUCCAGGGUAGCUCACAAGGCUGCGUCUGAAGGACACGCGAGUUGUAAAUGAUCCUUUUAGCGAAGCUUGACCGCCUCGCUAUCGGAACGAUCUUACGAAGCAAGCUGGUCUUUCUAAUCAUGGUCCGGCUGCAGAUAGCGUUCAUCGAGGGCGCGUGCCUUAGAGACUUAGGUUUCUUGGCAAUUCUGCAGACAACAUUCUGCCGAGUGUGUGGACAUUGAUAAUGAGAGC